AGAGUUGAUCCUGGCUUAGGAUGAACGCUAGCGACAGGCUUAACACAUGCAAGUCGAGGGGCAGCAUAAAAGUAGCAAUACUUGGUGGCGACCGGCGCACGGGUGAGUAACGCGUAUGCAACCUACCUAUCGAGAGGGGAAUAACCCGGCGAAAGUCGGACUAAUACCGCAUAAAACAGGGGCACCGCAUGGUGAUAUUGUUAAAGAAAUUCGCUGAUAGAUGGGCAUGCGUUCCAUUAGGUAGUUGGUGAGGUAACGGCUCACCAAGCCGACGAUGGAUAGGGGAACUGAGAGGUUGGUCCCCCACACUGGUACUGAGACACGGACCAGACUCCUACGGGAGGCAGCAGUGAGGAAUAUUGGUCAAUGGGCGGGAGCCUGAACCAGCCAAGUCGCCGUGAAGGAAGAAGGAUCUAUGGUUCGUAAACUUCUUUUGCAGGGGAAUAAAGUGCAGGACGUGUCCUGUUUUGUAUGUACCCUGAGAAUAAGGAUCGGCUAACUCCGUGCCAGCCGCCGC
RNAcentral lists this ribosomal RNA (517 nucleotides) under uncultured bacterium. Its description in RNAcentral is "bacterial SSU rRNA". It matches the Rfam family "Bacterial small subunit ribosomal RNA", at positions 8 to 518 of the family's 1533-position model. The record is from RNAcentral.